UUUCCCCUGGCCACCGAGAGUGGAGCAGUGAGGUUGGGCGAUAAACAGGCUGUGGCUGGGGAGGAGGGGCGGGGACAUUUGUUCCUCCGGGACUUUUCACGCCCCCUAUUUCGUUAGGUGUGGUUAGGUUCGGACGCGGGGUCCUGGCGGCGGGCUGGAGCCUACUUCUUUGUGAAAGGGGAAAGUAGCUCCCUCGGAGAACUGGUGAAGUUGCGGAGCGGGUGCGAGACGGCGGUUUUCCCCUAUGCCAGCCAAAUGGUGCGGCCCUGAGCUGUUUCAGGACCCAGCCCGACGUGUCUGAGAGAGGCCCCGGAAGGGGCAGGGAGGUGGCCCGCAGAACGCGGGUUCUGUGAAGAGACGUGGAGAAAAUUCGACUCGGAGAAGAGGAAGAGCCCGAUUGAAAGGGAGCGAGGCCGCUGAGGGGGAGGGGGCUGCCAAGAUGGCGUCGGCCUCCUCAGGGCCGUCGUCGGUCGGGUUUUCAUUCGCGGAUCCCGGCGUCCCUUCCUGCGCCUCGUCCUCAGGUUUCAACUUUCUGUGCUGUGGGGUCAGCCGUAAGAGAGCAUCUGGAAUCAAGAGACCCAUGGCAUCUGAGGUGCCAUAUGCCUCUGGCAUGCCCAUGAAGAAAAUAGGCCACCGAGGUGUUGAUUCCUCAGGAGAGACGACAUAUAAAAAGACAACCUCAUCUGCCUUGAAAGGUGCCAUCCAGUUAGGCAUUACUCACACUGUGGGAAGCCUGAGCACCAAACCAGAGCGUGAUGUCCUCAUGCAAGACUUCUAUGUGGUGGAGAGUAUCUUCUUUCCCAGUGAAGGGAGCAACUUGACUCCUGCUCAUCACUACAAUGACUUUCGCUUCAAAACCUAUGCACCUGUUGCCUUCCGUUACUUUCGGGAGUUAUUUGGUAUCCGGCCUGAUGAUUACUUGUACUCCCUCUGCAGUGAGCCACUGAUUGAACUCUGCAGCUCUGGGGCCAGUGGUUCCCUCUUCUAUGUGUCCAGUGACGAUGAAUUCAUCAUUAAAACAGUCCAGCAUAAAGAGGCGGAGUUUCUGCAGAAGCUGCUUCCAGGAUACUACAUGAACCUCAACCAGAACCCUCGCACUUUGCUGCCUAAAUUCUAUGGACUGUACUGUGUGCAGGCAGGUGGUAAGAACAUUCGAAUUGUGGUGAUGAACAAUCUCUUACCACGGUCAGUCAAGAUGCACAUCAAAUAUGACCUCAAGGGCUCAACCUACAAACGGCGGGCUUCCCAAAAAGAGCGAGAGAAGCCUCUACCCACCUUUAAAGACCUGGACUUCUUACAAGACAUUCCAGAUGGUCUUUUUUUGGAUGCUGAUAUGUACAAUGCUCUAUGUAAGACCUUACAGCGUGACUGUUUGGUGCUGCAGAGCUUCAAGAUAAUGGACUAUAGUCUCUUGAUGUCAAUCCAUAACAUAGAUCAUGCCCAACGAGAGCCCUUAGGCAAUGAAACACAGUAUUCAGUUGAUACUCGCAGACCAGCCCCCCAAAAGGCUCUCUAUUCUACAGCUAUGGAAUCUAUCCAGGGCGAGGCUCGGCGAGGUGGCACCAUGGAGACUGAUGACCAUAUGGGUGGCAUCCCGGCCCGCAAUAGUAAGGGGGAAAGGCUGCUGCUUUAUAUUGGGAUCAUUGACAUUCUUCAGUCUUACAGGUUUGUUAAGAAGUUGGAGCACUCUUGGAAAGCUCUGGUACAUGAUGGGGACACCGUAUCGGUGCAUCGGCCAGGCUUCUAUGCUGAACGGUUCCAACGCUUCAUGUGCAACACAGUGUUCAAGAAGAUACCCUUGAAGCCCUCUCCUUCCAAAAAGUUUCGGUCUGGCUCAUCUUUCUCUCGGCGAGCAGGCCCCAGCGGCAACUCCUGCAUUACUUACCAGACAUCGGUCUCUGGGGAGCACAAGGCACAAGUGACAACAAAGGCGGAAGUGGAGCCAGGCGUCCACUUCGGUCGUCCUGAUGUUUUACCUCAGACUCCACCUUUGGAGAAAAUCAGUGAGGUCACGACUAUUCCUGACCCCUAUUUCUCACCUGUAGUUGGAGAGACUUUACAAAUGCAAUCUACAAGCAUUCAGUUCCUUGUGGGUUACUGGACAGAGGGCAUUAGUUCCUCACCAGCUGUUGGCUGGGGACCUCCCUGUUCUUUGCCACGUGAGCCUCUCUGUUAGGACAACUCAGCACAUAGCAGCUGGCUUCUCUCAAGAUUCAAUCCUCUUGGAAAAGCCUGAAGUUGCAGAGUCAGAGUUCACCCAUUGAGCAAAAAAAUUCAGAAGACUUAGAACAAGAUUCUACCAGCUCGG
Molecule: RNA transcript, 2308 nt
Organism: Neofelis nebulosa (Clouded leopard)
Lineage: Eukaryota; Metazoa; Chordata; Mammalia; Carnivora; Felidae
Gene: PIP5K1A
Gene name: phosphatidylinositol-4-phosphate 5-kinase type 1 alpha
Exons: 17
Source: RefSeq, a predicted model, not a curated record